This 259-nucleotide ribosomal RNA is filed under the name uncultured prokaryote. RNAcentral describes it as "partial 16S ribosomal RNA". It matches the Rfam family "Bacterial small subunit ribosomal RNA", at positions 524 to 782 of the family's 1533-position model. The record is from RNAcentral.
UACGUAGGGUGCGAGCGUUGUCCGGAAUUAUUGGGCGUAAAGAGCUUGUAGGCGGUUUGUCGCGUCUGCUGUGAAUAUCCGGGGCUCAACCCCGGACUUGCAGUGGGUACGGGCAGACUAGAGUGUGGUAGGGGAGACUGGAAUUCCUGGUGUAGCGGUGAAAUGCGCAGAUAUCAGGAGGAACACCGAUGGCGAAGGCAGGUCUCUGGGCCACUACUGACGCUGAGAAGCGAAAGCAUGGGGAGCGAACAGGAUUAGA